GAUGAACGCUAGCGAUAGGCUUAACACAUGCAAGUCGAGGGGCAGCAUGGUCUUAGCUUGCUAAGACUGAUGGCGACCGGCGCACGGGUGCGUAACGCGUAUGCAACUUGCCUCACAGAGGGGGAUAACCCGUCGAAAGACGGACUAAUACCGCGUACACUCCAUCUUGGGCAUCCAAGGUAGAGGAAAUGAAAUUCGCUGUGAGAUAGGCAUGCGUCCCAUUAGCUAGUUGGUGAGGUAACGGCUCACCAAGGCGACGAUGGGUAGGGGAACUGAGAGGUUGAACCCCCACACUGGUACUGGGACACGGACCAGACUACUACGGGAGGCAGCAGUGAGGAAUAUUGGUCAAUGGGCGAGAGCCUGAACCAGCCAAGUCGCGUGAAGGAUGACUGUCUUAUGGAUUGUAAACUUCUUUUAUACGGGAAUAACAAGAGUCACGUGUGACUCCCUGCAUGUACCGUAUGAAUAAGCAUCGGCUAACUCCGUG
RNAcentral lists this ribosomal RNA (490 nucleotides) under uncultured bacterium. Its description in RNAcentral is "partial 16S ribosomal RNA". It matches the Rfam family "Bacterial small subunit ribosomal RNA", at positions 28 to 507 of the family's 1533-position model. The record is from RNAcentral.